CCGGCCCCAACUCUCCUCUCUCUCUCUCUCUCUCCCUCUCUCUCCCUCUCUGUCAUACCGUCCCACCUCCUCCCCUCCUUCCAUUCUCCUUCCAUUCUCGUACAGAUAGAGGGAGAGACGUGGAGAGGAGCUCGACGAGAAGAGGCCAGCCCAUCCGGCCAUCCAACCUUCCACCGGCCGAAGUGGGAGCACACCACCCGAAUUCAUUGAAAUGUGCCAAAAGGAAGAAAAAAGAAAAAAGAGUAGGGGACAAUGGCCAAGACCUCUCCACAAGAACACAUAUGCUUUUCCUAUGCUUUAAUUUUAUAUUGUAGAGUGGUGAUUAGAAGGUACGGAAAUCAUUUUUUGUGUAUUGAUUUAAUUGGUGGAUGGCCCACUUCAUGUUUUCCUAAGCUUUUUGGUUAUGAAAGGUGGGGCCAUUCCUUUCACUUUCCCUAUUGGUUAUUCUUCUCUCCACAUGGGAUGUGGGGUUGAUACGUUCUAUUUUCUUUUACAUGGGACCCACCAGAUUGGAAUUUUGUAUACUUUUUAGUGACAAAUAUUAGCAUACACCAUUGUAUGUGAACUUUACCAUGCAACACUUCCUUAGGUGACAAUGUUUCAAUUGUGCAGAACAUCUAGACCGUGCAAAUGAUGGACAGCACCGUAAAGAUAACAGAGGGCGAAAAACAGACCAAUCCAGUAAUUUGGUGGGCCACAUCCUUACUUCGAGUAAUUCCAUUGGCUGUCCAGUAAUUAGGUGGACCAUCCUGACUGUUGUCCUGAUGGAUCUCUAUAAAGUGGCCCAGUUUUUUAACAGCUCUAAUGUUUCAGGUGGGUGAUACAUUGCUGGGAAAGAAAGGGUUGUACCUGAAUAUUUCUCCUUUGUAUUGGUAUGUGUUGGAGGAGAGUAUGCAAUGCAUCCAAACGAGAAAUGUUAAUUCAGUGUCCCCUUCAGGUGAUGUGAGUCUGCACCCUUCCCACUUUAUUCACAUGAUAAAACAUUGCGAGUAGUCUUUUCAGGUAUUUCAAGCAUGCCAUUGAGGCACACUUGUGCAAGAUCUAGGCCAUUUAUGGGGUGAUCCUCCAUUGGGCCAGACAUGUAUGUUGAAUAUGGACUGGUGAUCAUCAAUUUCAUUCCCCCCUAUUUCUUUUAUAUGCCAAAUCCAUGGCUUUUGGGCCAGGGCAUUUACAUGUAAGUGGUGGCAAUGGGCCAGAAAGCCUAUAGAAAGAGCGCUUGGGCUGCUAAACUUGGCCCUCAGGGUCAGGCCUUGAAUUCGAGGCAGGGUGUCCGGGCAUGGACUAAUGAUAGAUGGCUGGGCCAGUCCAAUCAUCAAGUAGGCUGCUGGUGCAUAAAAGGAAUGGAUGGUGUAAAGGUGUUUGUGAGCUGCUGAUCUCAUUUAGGGCCCGUUUGGAUACCAUCAAAUAAGUUACUUAUUUCAAUAAGUUUGGUUUUUGAUUAGUUAUAAGUAACUAUUUUAAUUAAUUUUUCUUAUGCUCAUUUGUUCAUUUCUUUUAUUUCAUGUGCAGGGUUACAUUCCCUUUAGCCCUAAAGAAAGCCUUGAGUUGCUGGAUCUUCAGGCCAUAAUGUCUGCCUUAAGCAGGCCUCAUUCUGUAUCAGAGUGAUGCCAAAAAUAAAAAAUAAAAAUCAUUGCUGCAAAAGAGAGGUCCCAUUGUUAAAGUGACAAAACCAUAAAAGUAUCUCAUAGUCCUAGCUCAUAAACUUGUUUCUAUCUCUCACUGUGCUUUUGGAAGGGAAGGAGCCUACACAUCUGUACAAUAUAAUGAUUAUCGAAGCACUUUCGACCAUGCCAGAUCCAAAUGGAUCAUAAAUUGGUGCCAUUUCUAGCUUUAUUGAGAUUGCCAAUGCAGAAGGAACCAUAUGCAGGUAUCAAACUGGUGGGUUUUGUCAAUUUCUGGUAGGGGAUAAAUCGAUAUAAUUUUGAAUCAGAUUUUUGUUAAUCCCUGUUCUAGAUCUUUGUUGAUCCCCUCGUAGUAAUAAUAUCUCAGGGUUUGCAACUAUAACUGUUGACGUUUGUCGAUCUGUUCUAGGCAUGGGAGUUCGACCUUAAUGUUGGAGGGUGUCUGCUCAAUUGCUCGUUUCUGUUCACACAAGCAGCUAAUUCAAGAGGACUUGGGUGGAACCAUGGUGCCCUGCGCUGCGGCUUCUUACUCCAAGAAGCUUUCUGCUUUCCUGCAUUUUAGUCUGGACCAAAGAGUUGUAACCUCAUGCAUGCGUAUAUGCACACAUAUAGACUUUUGUUUCAUCAAAAUACUCUAGAAAAAGUAGAACAUCUCGCAUUCAAGCAUGACUCACAAAAAUCCAGGAAUGUAUCAAAUUCAUUAAAUCCUCACAUUUCAGGCAUGAAAAGUAUAGUGCGUGGGUGGGAAAAAAAAACCCUUGAUAUGGUGAUUCUUGAUACUUGAAUUUUUUCGAAAAAAGAUUAAUUAAAAAAUGUUUAAAAAAUCACAAUUCCAUGAUUAGAAGUCAAUUAGCCCCAGUUUCAAAAUAUUUAGGAGUAUUUGAUGAUAUCAUAAACACAUACACUCUAAUUUCGAGAGUUUGAAAAAGAUUAGUCAAUUUUGUCAAAAAAUGAGAAAAAAAAUCUAUUUUUUCCCCAAAUGAGUUACAUUUGAAUGUAUUGCUUGUAUCUUUAUACAUGCUAUCUUAUAUUAUUUUUAAUUGUAUGAAAUGACUUUUCAUAUACUUGCAUUAGUUCAACCAAACAAUGCAUAGGGUCGGACAUUGUACAAAAGAAACCUGUUAUGUGCAUUCACUGUGGUGGUAUUUUGAUUUUUAGGUGUGUAGUAAUAUUUUUUUAAGAAUUCCUAAAAUUUUGUUAAAAAAUUGAUCAAUUUCCUAAUGUUUCUCAACAUUUCCCAACAGCAGCGAUACAGUAUGCAGUACAACCAAAAUAUCCUCUGCUAUAAUUGAUAUGUAUGCAUAUCUGAAAUGUGCAAUACAUUACAUUAUGUGAUAAUGUUAUAGAAGACAUUAAUUUGAACUUGUCUAAAUACAUAAGUGAACUUUUGAUACCUUGAAUAUGAGGAUUUAAGGAAUUUGAUAAAUUCACAAAAGUUUUAAAAUCUCCUCCUCCAUUGCUUACAAUUAGGCAUUUGAGCUGGACCAAGCUGUUUUGCAGGGAAACCUUGCAAAGCCUAGAAGUCUCAAAUUUCCAUGCAAAACUGGAAUAUUUGGCUAAUGUAGUUAACCUUUGGUGCCAAAUCUCUUGGAAAUCAACUCCAAAAUAUUCUUAACCAAAGAUAGACACAAUCUUUCCACCGUUAGAGAUGUAUCCAAACUAGAAGUUUUUUCUUUUUAAUUUCCAUUUGAAUGAAUGGUGAAGGGUAAUCUCCCACAUAUUCGUUGCAAAAAUGUAUAUGGACUCUUCUUUUAUUCCCUCAUUUCUUAUCAUGCAGGACUGAGGGAGUGAAAGGAUGUCUCAUUGGAAGUUUGAGCACCCUAGGCAUGGGUCUCUUGGGUUUCUCCUGAGAAAGCGAGCUUCUCGUCAUAGAGGGAAAGGAUGGAACUUACGCAAUCCUACAUAGCAUUUAGUAUAGGUUACAUGUGACUCAAGCGAUACACACACAUCAUUUCUUUUAUUGUUUGACAAGUUGUGUAAUAUAAUAAUUAAAGAGAAGUGCCAAGUCCAACUAGUUGGAUCAUAAGUUACAACUCACCCAACGGAUGACUUCCAACCUAUUGAGUGCAUGUGAGACCCAACUAGUCCGAUUGAUUGACCCCACCAUGAAGAACACCUUGUGUAAAAAAAGAAAAAGAAAAUCUGCUCAUCAAGUAGACCCCACAAGUAUAUUGCUAUUCAUGGAUGGCUAUACAUUGCUUUUUAUGGUGUGGCCCAGUUAAUGGGUAGAUAGGGCUGACUUUUGCAUUAGUUGAUCCUCAUGGUGAGGCCAACCUAUUGGAAGGAUUGGGUGUCACAAGCACUUAACAUGUUGGACAUUAUCCAUUGGAUGGACUGUAACAUCCCGAAUUUUCACGGCUACAGUUUAUACUCGUGCCCGAGAAAACCGGGUGUUAAUAAUGUAAAGUUAGAUGCUUUAAAAAUCGCACUAU
RNA transcript from Magnolia sinica, 4054 nucleotides. It is a transcript of the gene named cation/H(+) antiporter 15-like, with no coding region annotated. Lineage: Eukaryota; Viridiplantae; Streptophyta; Magnoliopsida; Magnoliales; Magnoliaceae. The record is from RefSeq and is a predicted model, not a curated record. The transcript is spliced from 4 exons.